This 406-nucleotide ribosomal RNA is filed under the name uncultured bacterium. RNAcentral describes it as "partial 16S ribosomal RNA". It matches the Rfam family "Bacterial small subunit ribosomal RNA", at positions 29 to 421 of the family's 1533-position model. The record is from RNAcentral.
AACGGACGCUGGCGGCGUGCCUAACACAUGCAAGUCGAGCGCGAAUGGAGCAAUCCUAGUAGAGCGGCGCACGGGUGCGUAACACGUGGGUAAUCUGCCUCAAAGACUGGGAUAACCUGCCGAAAGGCUGGCUAAUACCAGAUAAGCUUAUGGGUUCUCUGGAACCUGCAGGAAAAGGUGGCCUCUGCAUGCAAGCUACCACUUUGAGAUGAGCCCGCGGCCCAUCAGCUAGUUGGCGGGGUAAUGGCCCACCAAGGCUACGACGGGUAGCUGGUCUGAGAGGACGAUCAGCCACACUGGAACUGAGACACGGUCCAGACUCCUACGGGAGGCCAGCAGUGGGGAAUUUUGCACAAUGGGCGAAAGCCUGAUGCAGCAACGCCGCGUGUGUGAUGAAGGUCUUCGG